Long non-coding RNA from Lycium barbarum (goji berry), 3114 nucleotides. RefSeq lists it as uncharacterized. The record is from RefSeq and is a predicted model, not a curated record. Lineage: Eukaryota; Viridiplantae; Streptophyta; Magnoliopsida; Solanales; Solanaceae. The transcript is spliced from 2 exons.
UAUCAAAAGAAUGGUGAAUUCAGAGGCGGAUUCAUGAUUUAAACUUUGUGUUUAAGUUAGGGAUUUUAUAACAAUUCAUUUGAUUUUGAUGGGUCCGAAAUCUAUUAUUUAUUUAGUGGUUUUUUUAACACAUAUAUAAGGUCCGAGUGUAGUAAGAUUUUUAUUGUGUUGGGCAACAAAUUGAUAUCAAUUGAGGUUUAAAAGGUCAAUUGAAAAUUAAUUUGUUGCAGCUUGCUCUAGUGAGGAAAAAAAGAUGGUCUUUUUAAUGCUAUAUUAGUUAUAAAGUUUGAUUCCUAUCUUCACAAAGGAAAAACUCAAACAUCUUAAGAUGUUAGAACCGACAAAUAUCUUACUUUGGGGUUAUGAAAAGAACACCGAAGUCAACGACAGAUUCAAGAUUUAAACUUUAUAUGUUCAAGCUCGGGAAUUAACCACCACUCAUUUGAUUUAUUGGGUCGAAAUCUUUAUUUGUACUUGUUUAGUGACUUUUUUUAACACGCUCGGGAUAUGAGCCAAAGCUACUGGGUUCCGUAUGAACCCAUAACUAACCCACUGCAUUCGCCGUUGGGUGAAGUUUAUUUGCUUGGAAUUAUCUGCCUUUAAGGAAGCUAAACUUGUAGGAAUGUAGCAAGAUUUGAUUGUGUUGGGCAACAGAUUAAUAUGAAUUGAGUUUUCAAGGGUCAAUGAAAAAUAAGUACACUCACUGAUUUCGAGUUUGAGAUUCUACCAUAAACUCAUUUGAUUUACUGGGUUCAAAAUCUAUUAUUUGUCCUUAUUUAGGGACUUUUAAACAUAUGUACCGGGAAUGAGCCAAAGCUAAUGGAUCCGGAUGAACCCAUAACUGAACAAAUUCCAGUUUAUUUGUUUGGAAUUAUCUGCCUUAAGGAUGCUAAAUUUGUAGGAAUGUAGCAAGAUUUUGAUUAUGUUUGGGCAACAAAUUGAUAUGAAUUUGAGGUUUAAAGGGUCAAUGGAAAAUGAGUACACUCAUUGUUCCUCUCGACUUGAUAUUUAGAACUCUUGUUGUUUUGAUGUGUUUAGAGACAGCCAGAUAGAGUAGCAGUGUCUUGCUAGUUUCACAGAAAUUUAGCCACAAAUACAGAAGGUCUUUAUGCUAAGAGACUGGUUUCUAGCUGGAUGGGUUUACUUUUGGUGCUUAAAAUUGAUUAGAGUAACCACUUUUGAUGCAUUUGCUGCAAGAAGACAGAGGUACAUUAUCCUAAAGCAUGGUCCAAGGAGAUAAGAAAGUUGGUAUGAAGUCGGAGAAGAAAUCCAAGAAAAGGAAAAAGAAUGCUGCCACCAAUGAUUCGGAAGUGACAAAGGGCGUUGUUAAAGCUGUUGAGCGUGAUUCAUGUUUCAAGGUAAAAUCAGGAGAAAUUGAAGAUUGUGCCAUCAAGAGAAAUAAAGAAAGACGUGGUGGAAAACAGCCUGGGAAGUCCAGUAAGACAAGUGCGAUGAUGCUGUUAAAAAUUUUGUGAAAAAGAAAAAUAAGUUGAAGAAUGAGGGAGAUACAUUCCAUGAUUCUCUUUUAGAUUCCAAAACAAUUGCUCCUGAAAGUGUGAGUGGAACACGGGAAACCAAGGUGGUUGAGACACUCAGUGAGGCAUCUGGUGGAAAUAUUAUAGACGAGGUGAAGGGGAAAAAAAGUAAAAAGGAAAAGAGGAAAAAAGAGGAUGGACAGGUAGAUAUUGUGGCUGGCGACGUUCAAGGUUACACUAAUAUCAGAAAGAAGAAAAAGACAAAAUUAGGACACAGUUGUAAAGAUCUUACACAUGAAAAGAGUGAAAAGAGAGUGAGAUUUUCUGGUCAUGUACAGGUUUUUCCUCCAUCCAGUGAUCCAAGUGACGAGGAGUAUGAAGUACAGGGAGAAAUAUUACUGGGGGCAAACGAUUCUCAAAAGAAGAAGAUGAAAUUAUCAAAGAUGUUGUUAAUAGAUACAUAGAGGUACAUAACUUAGGCAAACAAGGGUUGCAAAAGGUUUUGAACUCUAAAUCUAUUCCCGAAAUAAGGGGCUGCUGGAAAAAAAAUAGGGAGUGAUAUACCAUACAGGCCUUAUACUGCAGUUUAUCAGCAUGCACAACGGUUGUUUCGAAGUAAUGAUAAUCGAAAAUACACUGAAGAAGAGUAUGAGAUGAUACGGAAGUUCCAUGGAGAACAUGGGCCCAAAUAGAGGGUCUUGGCUGAUGAACUUGGGAAACAUUGGGCUAAUGAACUUGGGAAACAUUGGGCUAAUGUGGGAAAUACAUGGCAUAGGAUAAAACUGGCCAAUCGGAAGAAAGGAAAUUGGGCUCAGGAGGAAAUCCAGACUUUGUUUGAUUUGGUAAAUGCCGAUCUGCAACUGAAGCUUUGUGAAGAGAAGAAAUCUAAGCAUGGGAUGUUACGGGAUAAUAUUCGCUGGAGUGCAAUUAGUGACAAAUUGUCCACCAGGUAUAGUGGACAUUGCUGCAGGUGAAUGGGCAGAUACUGAUGACUAUCGACUAAUUGAUGCUCUUUUUGAACUUGAUGCGAGUUGCAUAGAGGACGUGGAUUGGGACAAUCUUCUUUCCCACAGGCAUGGAGAGUUAUGUCGAAAAAUAUGGAAAGAGAUGGUCCGUCAAAUAAGUCAACAUGAAAAUAAGUCAUUUGCUGCACAAGUAGAAGUGUUAGCUAAGAGAUACCGCCUGAUUUGGUUGAAGCAAGAGAGGCCUGGGAUAGGAAACCAGUUGUUCCAUGAAUAUGUUCAUCACUCACAUGGACGUUUAUUUAGAGAGAGAGAGAUGAUUAAGGAACAUCUAUUCUGAGGCGGAUCCAGGUUUUUAAAUCGGUAGGUCGAGGUAUCCUGUUCUACUUUGCAAUCGGUUUAGCAUAAACGUAUAUUUUUUAAAAUUAUUCAACUACAUAUGCAUUCAAAUCAGUCGCUUCCUUGGAACUAAUUCGUAGGCAUUUCCAUUAUUUAGACUUCACACACUGUAUAAACAAAUAGUUGAAAAAGACACUGAGUGCAGGCAGUCGGUAAACUAGAACAGUCACUGGAUAUACUAUUAUCUAGAAACUUGUGUCGUCCUUUUUCUUUUGGUUCUUUCUCGCUCUUUGUUCUUGUAAUGUUUGAAAGGCUUAUAAAAUGUCUACAAAUGUUAA